GGGGAUACAGCUCAGUUGGCAGAGUGCUUGCUUUGUAUGCAUAAGGCCCUGGGUUCGAUCCCCAGCACCCCCC
RNAcentral lists this transfer RNA (73 nucleotides) under Marmota monax (woodchuck). It matches the Rfam family "tRNA". Rfam says of the family: Transfer RNA (tRNA) molecules are approximately 80 nucleotides in length. Their secondary structure includes four short double-helical elements and three loops (D, anti-codon, and T loops). The record is from Rfam by way of RNAcentral. Lineage: Eukaryota; Metazoa; Chordata; Mammalia; Rodentia; Sciuridae.